GUUCGUUCGUUUGUUUUGGUGUAUGAGCAUGUAUUUACCUCGAGGCACAAGGUUUGAGAUAACCAAAAAGAAGUCUCAAUCCAAAAUAGAGAAAGAAAUGGAAAAUAAUUGAAUCCAAAGUGUAGAAGCAGAGAAAAGAUGUGGACUGCUCAAGACAUGAUUGAAGUCACAAGCUUUUCCUGUCCCGUCUUGAUCCGAAAAAGCUAAAGAAGAAUGAACUAGCACCUACAGCUAGCAAGCAUCAAGGUUCAGAUCAGAGUCUGCAUGAAGAACAACCAAAACUCAAGAUCGAGUUUCAGAAGACUUAGAGAUAGGAACCUUGUAACUCAGUGUUGGUAGGCUUGUUUAGUUUCUUUUCAUUUUUGAUUUUGGUAUAAUAAGGAGCUCAGCAAGCAGUAACAAUAGCAACAACAAUAAAAUCACAGCUCCUAGUAGUCCUAGCUACAAAAAUUACCAGAACUACACUGACCUGAUUCCUUUAUAGCCAAGGAUAUGUAGGCAACCUCCGAAGCAAGGUUCGGUCAAACUUUCAAAAAAAAACCCGCUUCCCAUGGAGUAUCCAAACGGGCAAAAAUUACUCGUAAUUGCUCACUUUAUCUUUGCCCGAAAACUCUUCAUGUUUUCGAGCAAAGAGGGGCAGCUGUGAGCACCUAAGUUUUGCCCCACAUAAGAGAUUACUCCUAAAAAUAAUCCNUCCAAAAAAUAAUUUUAAUUGUUUUUAUGAAUUUUAGAAAUUUUUCUUUAUUUAUUUUGCAUUUAUUCGCAUUGUUUAUACAUGUUGGGAAUAUCGUAAAUCAUAAAAAUGUUCAAAUCUUAAUUUCAUAGCAUUUUAGAUUUUAAACUGCAUUUUAGGAUUUAAUUACAUUAUUAAAUGCAUUAUAUAAAUAUCUAAAAACCAAAAAAUGUAUUUUUAGAUUAGUUAAUUAAUUAGGUCAUUAGUCAAUUAUUGAGUAAAAUAUAUAUAAUAGUUUAGCCAUACAAAUUAAUUUUAAUUAAAAUUUGAGUCCAAAGUGACUAAUUUUACAAUUAUAUCAAGCCCAUCCCUUUAGAAGCCCAAUUUUCAUGACCCGCCUGGCCCAACCGGAUCCCCCCUCUCUUUAAAACACCCAUUUUCCCAAACCUAAAGGAGAGGGGAUAACAGGCAGAUCCCCCUUUGAAAAACCUAGCGCCGCCUUCACCUUCGUCUCUUUUCUCACCUCACUCUCAACACGCCUAAAUACAGCUGUUGAAACUUCAGAAUAUUUAUAACUAAACUUCAGAAUUUCUUAGAAAGAAACAGUCAAAUUUCGGAGUUAAAAUCAUAUAGCCGAUUCAACAUUUCAGCCUCUUUUCUUCAUAAUCUCUGGGGUUUUCAAGGUUAUUAGAAGCUGUAGAUGAGUUGCUUGCUUACCGAUUUGGACUGCACUGGUUGCUGAGUUUUCAACUUUCUUUAUUUCGCCUUUAUUCGGCCCUUUAAAUUGGUUCUUACAUAACCAGGAGUCCGGCCAGAAAAUCAAGGUGAACUUGGUAGGAGGCAAGAUCAAGGGCCCCCGAGAUGAGAAUGGUCGUCGCUUAUUUUCUGUGAAAGCUGCCAAGGGAAGGUUCAAAGUUCAGCGAGAGUAAUCGCAUCAUAUAUGUUGUGAUAGAAAUUUCAAUAAACAGUAGUUUCCUAACUUUAUAUCUGCUUUGUUAAGUUGUUGGUGUUUAAUAGUAGUAGUAAUAUGUAGGUUGAUACAUAUGCUUGUAGAACUGUUUCACAUAGAUCAGUUUUUUGCCACAUGCAUUAAUCAAUUUGUUUACCAAUUGAUCGUCUUA
Nicotiana tabacum (common tobacco) is the source of this 1794-nucleotide long non-coding RNA. RefSeq lists it as uncharacterized. NCBI's taxonomy places the organism in Eukaryota, Viridiplantae, Streptophyta, Magnoliopsida, Solanales, Solanaceae. The record is from RefSeq and is a predicted model, not a curated record.